CAUUUGAAGGUGAGGUGGCGGACGGGUGAGUAACACGUGGGUAACCUAGCCCUAAAGUGGGGGAUAACAUUUGGAACAAGAUGCUAAUACCGCAUAAAACCUAACACCGCAUGGUGUAGGGUUGAAAGAUGGUUUCGGCUAUCACUUUAGGAUGGACCCGCGGUGCAUUAGUUAGUUGGUGAGGUAAAGGCUCACCAAGACCGUGAUGCAUAGCCGACCUGAGAGGGUAAUCGGCCACACUGGGACUGAGACACGGCCCAGACUCCUACGGGAGGCAGCAGUAGGGAAUCUUCCACAAUGGACGAAAGUCUGAUGGAGCAACGCCGCGUGAGUGAAGAAGGUUUUCGGAUCGUAAACUCUGUUGUUGGAGAAGAAUGUAUCUGAUAGUAACUGAUCAGGUAGUGACGGUAUCCAACCAGAAAGCCACGGCUAACUACGUG
Molecule: ribosomal RNA, 440 nt
Filed under: uncultured bacterium
Lineage: Bacteria
Description: bacterial SSU rRNA
Rfam family: Bacterial small subunit ribosomal RNA
Source: RNAcentral